RNAcentral lists this ribosomal RNA (555 nucleotides) under uncultured bacterium. Its description in RNAcentral is "partial 16S ribosomal RNA". It matches the Rfam family "Bacterial small subunit ribosomal RNA", at positions 355 to 900 of the family's 1533-position model. The record is from RNAcentral.
UAGGGAAUCUUCCACAAUGGACGCAAGUCUGAUGGAGCAACGCCGCGUGAGUGAAGAAGGUUUUCGGACCGUAAAGCUCUGUUGUUGGUGAAGAAGGAUAGAGGUAGUAACUGGCCUUUAUUUGACGGUAAUCAACCAGAAAGUCACGGCUAACUACGUGCCAGCAGCCGCGGUAAUACGUAGGUGGCAAGCGUUGUCCGGAUUUAUUGGGCGUAAAGCGAGCGCAGGCGGAAGAAUAAGUCUGAUGUGAAAGCCCCUCGGCUUAACCGAGGAAUUGCAUCGGAAACUGUUUUCUUGAGUGCAGAAGAGGAGAGUAGAACUCCAUGUGUAGCGGUGGAAUGCGUAGAUAUAUGGAAGAAUACCAGUGGCGAAGGCGGCUCUCUGGUCUGCAACUGACGCUGAGGCUCGAAAGCAUGGGUAGCGAACAGGAUUAGAUACCCUGGUAGUCCAUGCCGUAAACGAUGAGUGCUAAGUGUUGGGAGGCUUCCGCCUCUCAGUGCUGCAGCUAACGCAUUAAGCACUCCGCCUGGGGGAGUACGACCGCAAGGUUGAAAC